GAUGAACGCUGGCGGCGUGCCUAAUACAUGCCAGUCGAGCGAACAGAUAAGGAGCUUGCUCCUUUGACGUUAGCGGCGGACGGGUGAGUAACACGUGGGUAACCUACCUAUAAGACUGGAAUAACUCCGGGAAACCGGGGCUAAUGCCGGAUAACAUUUAGAACCGCAUGGUUCUAAAGUGAAAGAUGGUUUUGCUAUCACUUAUAGAUGGACCCGCGCCGUAUUAGCUAGUUGGUAAGGUAACGGCUUACCAAGGCAACGAUACGUAGCCGACCUGAGAGGGUGAUCGGCCACACUGGAACUGAGACACGGUCCAGACUCCUACGGGAGGCAGCAGUAGGGAAUCUUCCGCAAUGGGCGAAAGCCUGACGGAGCAACGCCGCGUGAGUGAUGAAGGUCCUCGGAUCGUAAAACUCUGUUAUUAGGGAAGAACAAAUGUGUAAGUAACUGUGCACGUCUUGACGGUACCUAAUCAGAAAGCCACGGCUAACUACGUG
This 497-nucleotide ribosomal RNA is filed under the name uncultured bacterium. RNAcentral's name for it is "partial 16S ribosomal RNA". It matches the Rfam family "Bacterial small subunit ribosomal RNA", at positions 28 to 507 of the family's 1533-position model. The record is from RNAcentral.